AUAACAUAUAUACAGAGGUCCUAGGUUAGACCCAUACAGGCUCCCUGACUUCAGCUCAGUCUCAACGAGCCCCUACAGGUUCAGGAGCUCCGGAUCCAGAACUGCUCCAGGUUAACCUCGGACUCCUCUCAAUGCUGGACCCCGCGGCUUCUGGAGAAAGUCUUCCCGCAGCAAGGUCCAGGCCCUUGUGGGUAAAAAGAGAUACAAGGAUCCUGACCAGCUCUGAUGUGAGAUGCCUCUAAUCACGUGUUCCUGAAACGCCAUUUGAUUGUGCCUUCUCAGGCCACAGACUGAGACCCUCUGAAAUGGACCCAAACAAACAGUUCUUCCUUGUUUUAUUAGAUACUUUAGUCACAGUCGUGCACCUUGUAAUAAAGAAUCUGAGCUAUUGUUGGAA
Arvicanthis niloticus (Nile rat) is the source of this 397-nucleotide long non-coding RNA. RefSeq lists it as uncharacterized. The record is from RefSeq and is a predicted model, not a curated record. Lineage: Eukaryota; Metazoa; Chordata; Mammalia; Rodentia; Muridae.